RNAcentral lists this ribosomal RNA (497 nucleotides) under uncultured Actinomycetes bacterium. Its description in RNAcentral is "bacterial SSU rRNA". It matches the Rfam family "Bacterial small subunit ribosomal RNA", at positions 8 to 522 of the family's 1533-position model. Lineage: Bacteria; Bacillati; Actinomycetota; Actinomycetes. The record is from RNAcentral.
AGAGUUUGAUCAUGGCUCAGGACGAACGCUGGCGGCGUGCUUAACACAUGCAAGUCGAACGAUGAAGCCCUUCGGGGUGGAUUAGUGGCGAACGGGUGAGUAACACGUGGGCAAUCUGCCCUUCACUCUGGGACAAGCCCUGGAAACGGGGUCUAAUACCGGAUAACACCUGCCUGGGCAUCUGGGUGGGUUAAAAGCUCCGGCGGUGAAGGAUGAGCCCGCGGCCUAUCAGCUUGUUGGUGAGGUAGUGGCUCACCAAGGCGACGACGGGUAGCCGGCCUGAGAGGGCGACCGGCCACACUGGGACUGAGACACGGCCCAGACUCCUACGGGAGGCAGCAGUGGGAAAUAUUGCACAAUGGGCGAAAGCCUGAUGCAGCGACGCCGCGUGAGGGAUGACGGCCUUCGGGUUGUAAACCUCUUUCAGCAGGGAAGAAGCGAGAGUGACGGUACCUGCAGAAGAAGCGCCGGCUAACUACGUGCCAGCAGCCGCGGUA